ACCUUCAUCUUAAAACUAGACAAGAGUAUUCUAGAAUGAUGUAGUUCAGUUGGGCUUUUUAUCUCUGACUCCAAAAGACAUGGCCAAGCAAUCUGAUUCACUCUCUCAGUCCAACUGCUGCUUUUUCAAGCGGUGAUAGGGACUUAGUGAAGGCUACACCAAUGUCUAUAAAAAUCAGUCUUUCUUAUUGACCUCUCAGACUUCUCUAGGAACAGCCAGGUUUCUCUGGCAUCAUUUGAAGAAGGAAAUGAUACUGACACAGCUGAUUCAGCCUAACAAGGUGGAAUGCAGUUUUUCUGCCUAAAGUCCAUGCUAUCCUGGAAAGAAUGGAGUUGUCGUGCACACCUCAACAAGCGUUUUAGUGAGCAGAGGCCAUUUUGCUUCUGAAGUGGACACAAAAGACCUGUUUGAAGAUGCCCUGAAAUAAGAGACAUAGAUUCACACUGUUCUCUUUUCCUCACAAUAAUGAAAGAGAGAGAGAGAGUUCAUCUCAAGAUGACAUUAAGGGGCAAUAGGAUGAACUGUCUCGUGCAUCUGCAGUCACGCCUUUCCAUGACGAUGGAUCUGCACCACACUUUCCCAAUAAAAGCUGAAGAUAAGA
Long non-coding RNA from Rattus norvegicus (Norway rat), 601 nucleotides. RefSeq lists it as uncharacterized. NCBI's taxonomy places the organism in Eukaryota, Metazoa, Chordata, Mammalia, Rodentia, Muridae. The record is from RefSeq and is a predicted model, not a curated record.